CCUACGGGUGGCAGCAGUGGGGAAUAUUGCACAAUGGGCGCAAGCCUGAUGCAGCCAUGCCGCGUGUGUGAAGAAGGCCUUCGGGUUGUAAAGCACUUUCAGCGGGGAGGAAGGCGGUGAGGUUAAUAACCUCAUCGAUUGACGUUACCCGCAGAAGAAGCACCGGCUAACUCCGUGCCAGCAGCCGCGGUAAUACGGAGGGUGCAAGCGUUAAUCGGAAUUACUGGGCGUAAAGCGCACGCAGGCGGUCUGUCAAGUCGGAUGUGAAAUCCCCGGGCUCAACCUGGGAACUGCAUUCGAAACUGGCAGGCUAGAGUCUUGUAGAGGGGGGUAGAAUUCCAGGUGUAGCGGUGAAAUGCGUAGAGAUCUGGAGGAAUACCGGUGGCGAAGGCGGCCCUCUGGCCUGUAACUGACGCUGAGGCGCGAAAGCGUGGGGAGCGAACAGGAUUAGAUACCCCUGUAGUC
This 465-nucleotide ribosomal RNA is filed under the name uncultured Klebsiella sp. RNAcentral's name for it is "bacterial SSU rRNA". It matches the Rfam family "Bacterial small subunit ribosomal RNA", at positions 338 to 795 of the family's 1533-position model. The record is from RNAcentral. Lineage: Bacteria; Pseudomonadati; Pseudomonadota; Gammaproteobacteria; Enterobacterales; Enterobacteriaceae.